AGAAGCAAGUGGUGGAGUUGGCCAAGUCUUGAAGUAUAAUCAUCUAUCUCAUCGUGCAUGCAUUUUAGCGUUUCUUUCUCACUCUUUUCUCAUUCUGCAUGCACACGCCUUCUCUCCAUCUUCCACACCCUCUCUUUCUUUCUUCUCACUUUCUCUCCGGUCACCGCCGAUUCAAUCCCUCCUUAACCACUUCUCUCCGGUCAGAUUCCGACGAACUUCAACUCAACACUCUCUUUUCCAUCCCGCCACACAAAUGAAAAUCCUAACCAACCACCACACGCGCCGCGUCAACUUAUUUCCCUAA
Non-coding RNA from Vicia faba (fava bean), 304 nucleotides. Lineage: Eukaryota; Viridiplantae; Streptophyta; Magnoliopsida; Fabales; Fabaceae. The record is from the annotation of a GenBank genome assembly.